Long non-coding RNA from Cucumis melo (muskmelon), 365 nucleotides. RefSeq lists it as uncharacterized. NCBI's taxonomy places the organism in Eukaryota, Viridiplantae, Streptophyta, Magnoliopsida, Cucurbitales, Cucurbitaceae. The transcript is spliced from 4 exons. The record is from RefSeq and is a predicted model, not a curated record.
AUCAAACCCUAGCCUCCUCUACGCCUCUUCAUCUCCUCAUUUAAUUUCUCUUCUGUCUCUUUUUUUUUCCCAUACAAGAAGCAAGUUUUAGAUGGAAAUGAUAUUGAACUUGUGUCGCCAUCUUGUGCCCUUAUUAACAAGAAAUGUCAUGUCAAGAACAAGGAUAUAUGCAAGUUCCUUGAUGGUAUCUAUCUCAAGAAGAGAAGUUGGAGCUUAGAGGUGAUCAAUAAAGUGUUUGUCUUAGUCUUUCCUUGCAUAGUCACACCAUUAUGUAAUGUGCUCUUUUCUUUCCUACAUUUGUAUAUGGACUUUUGUGUUUUUAAUUUCUUUGUUAGUAUAUUCAUGUUUUGUAUAUUAUGAUUGUG